Molecule: non-coding RNA, 29 nt
Filed under: Mus musculus (house mouse)
Lineage: Eukaryota; Metazoa; Chordata; Mammalia; Rodentia; Muridae
Source: RNAcentral
UACUAGGUCAGAAUGUAUCAAUGUUAAGG